RNAcentral lists this small RNA (29 nucleotides) under Bombyx mori (domestic silkworm). RNAcentral's name for it is "piRNA piR-bmo-2085576". The record is from RNAcentral. Lineage: Eukaryota; Metazoa; Arthropoda; Insecta; Lepidoptera; Bombycidae.
UAACUCCAUUACCACUUCCUCUUCUUGAC